This 64-nucleotide transfer RNA is filed under the name Platisus moerosus. RNAcentral describes it as "tRNA-His". Lineage: Eukaryota; Metazoa; Arthropoda; Insecta; Coleoptera; Cucujidae. The record is from RNAcentral.
AUUUAAGUAGUUUAAAAAAAAUAUUAAUUUGUGGAAUUAAUGAUAUAUGAUAUUAUCUUAAAUA